Long non-coding RNA from Betta splendens (Siamese fighting fish), 939 nucleotides. RefSeq lists it as uncharacterized. The transcript has 3 exons. The record is from RefSeq and is a predicted model, not a curated record. NCBI's taxonomy places the organism in Eukaryota, Metazoa, Chordata, Actinopteri, Anabantiformes, Osphronemidae.
CCCAGCGAGGCACACACUCUCCACGCACAAAUUCACACAGACGCACACACGUGGAGGAAUUCUGGCUUCAAUCAAGGGACCCCAUGGGAGAGAGGAAAGGGCCCUAAGCCAUGAGACAGGGGCUGGCUCUGCUAAGUGGGGAGGGAGGUUCUGUUCUGGCCUGAUAAGUCAUCUAUUUGAAUGGAUCGUCAUUCUCACAGAUGGGGAGAGAAAGAGAGGGAGCGCGCUGCACCUUGGCGAAGAAAAGGGAGGAGGAGGAUGCCGAGGAGGAGGAGGAAUUAAUUUUUCCCCUCUGGGAGAAACACAUGCUGGAUCUCAAGAGUUGGAGGGAAUCUUCCCAUCUUGCUCUGAUUGGCAUUAAGAGGGUGGAGGGGGGGAGCGGAAAGGAUGAGAGGGAACGAGAUGCCAUGGUUGUUACUAAUGAUUUAUUGUGUGAAAUGUGAACGGUGCUGUGGUGGGUGCUUGUCGUUCAGGCUUUUUCGCUGUGGGAUUGGUUUAUGUCUGUGAGCUUCACUAAAUGCAUUAUCAGGUAUGUAAGACCUGAACAACUGGGACUUCUGCUUCACGCUUAUGGAAACACAAAAACUUUAAAAGUAGUUUCCAAACCUCGGAAAUAAUAAAGUGCUUAUUGUUCAGCAACGGACGCGUCUUUGAAUUUCUAUUUUAGAAAAGAAAGAAUUGCUCAGAUUUGGAAACUGGAGCAGAUCAGACCUUCAGACUCUUUGCAGGUUAAUGAUGGACAUCUUUGGAAAAUGAACCGUGUUUUAGAACUCGGCUGCUUAAUAUAUGGAAAUCGAUUGCACACAUGGAGAUUAAACAUUAAUGUGCGAUUUACUUACACAGAUACAAUUUGCCAAGGUUCCAUUUUUACAAGUCCCUAAGUUUGACUGGUUGAAGCCAUAAAUUGUCAGAUUCCUGUGAACUGGGUUGCAAUAAUUG